This is a small nuclear RNA of Phyllostomus discolor (pale spear-nosed bat), 104 nucleotides long. The record is from RefSeq and is a predicted model, not a curated record. Lineage: Eukaryota; Metazoa; Chordata; Mammalia; Chiroptera; Phyllostomidae.
GUGCUCGCUUCAGCAACACACAUACUAAAAUUGGAAUGAUACGGAGAUUAGCAAGGCCCCUGCACAAGGAUGACACCCAAACGCAUGAAGCGUUCCAUUAAAAA